AAAUUUGCAGAUCGAUGGGGUAUGUAAAUGCAUGAAACUGAGAAGAGAUAAGCUUCUUCAGGCUCGGGAGGUUUGUGGCAAUGUAAUCUCUUCCACCAAAGGAAAAUUGAACUUUCAAAUGGAAUACCAAAAGAGACAAGCAUCACAUCCUUUGGUAAUAGUUCUCUUUCUUUCCUUAAUCUACCUAUCGCUAUUUUUACAUCUUAGCCAAGUUACAUUAAGCCCCCGUUUAGCCCCCAUUCUUUCCAAUUUUAAUGGUUGGAAUAGUGCUUUUGAAAAAUAUGUGGUUGAAAAAGAAUGAAAAAGUUUUUGAUUUGUGUGUAAUAUUUUUUUAUGAAAGAUUGUGUGGUUGAAAAUAAGAGAGAGAAAAAGAAUGAGAAGGAGAAUGGGGAUCAAAUGGGGGCUAAGUUUGUAGUUUUUUAUGGUCCAAUAUUAGUCUGCAUAUCCUUCACAACCCAUUAUCGCACACAUUCUCUGAAUACAUCUUCCCAUUUCAGCAUCAAUUUAUAUCUCAGUUACAAAUUAAACCCCUGUUUGACAACUAUCAUUUGGAUAAAAUGGAGUUUUGAAUAGUGGUUUUUUGGAAAAUGCGUGGUUAAAAAAUAGGGAAAAAUUUUGAGUAUGCGUGCAGAAUAUUUAUUGAGAUUUGCUAGAAAUGAUAAGUGGCAUUAGUCAUAUUUAUUUGUGUGAAUGUGUGGUUGAAAAUAAAUAUGUAGAAAAAAAGUUUUGAAAUAAUGCUUGUCAAACAGGGGCUAAAUUGGUUUGGACACACUGGAUUUUAGGUGCCGUCAUUGUGGUGUAAUCAGUGUUUAUGAUAUUUGCUGCAAGAGUGGGAGUCAGGGAAUGGGAGUGUGGUGAAAUGAAAUCUGAUUUUCUCUAUAACGAAACUUAAAUUGAGCUUCAAUUAAAUUUCAAGAAUUUUGUUAAGCCCAUGAAACUUCAUUAUAGAGUUUAUCAAAAUAGAAUGAACAUUAAUUUGUGCAAUAAAAGAAAAUAAGACAUUCAGUUGGGAUUGAAAAGAACAUAUUGACCAUAGUUAGGUUAAACUAAAAAAAUCUAACCCUCCUAACAUCAAGGGUAAAAAUAGGAUCUAAAUAUCGAUCAAUCUAUACAGCUUAUUUACAGUAACAAUAAUGUCUACUCUUCCAAAUAGUCAUUGGAUUUCCUUGAUGUGAAUCUCCUCUAUCUGAGCUCAUAACAUUGAUCUUAUUGAAACUUUGCUUUUCGACAUGUUCCUUGAGCUUAUUAAAAGCACUAAGGGCCCGUUUGGGAUG
Molecule: long non-coding RNA, 1274 nt
Filed under: Olea europaea (common olive)
Lineage: Eukaryota; Viridiplantae; Streptophyta; Magnoliopsida; Lamiales; Oleaceae
Description: long non-coding RNA (OEUR_LNC012408)
Source: RNAcentral